RNAcentral lists this ribosomal RNA (195 nucleotides) under Triticum aestivum (bread wheat). RNAcentral describes it as "partial small subunit ribosomal RNA". Lineage: Eukaryota; Viridiplantae; Streptophyta; Magnoliopsida; Poales; Poaceae. The record is from RNAcentral.
AUGUUGCAUGUUCUUGAUCAGGUAUGUGAUCUAAUUGUUGACGUGUUAAGAGACCAAGUUGUGCUGAGAGUUUUUCAAGCAUGCGUGGAAGGACUCAUUUGGGUCCUACUGGAUGGAGGCCCAUCCCACGCAUUUUUGAGACAGAUGUGGAUAGUAGGAAAGAUGAUCUGGCUAUGCUCAAGGAUCUUUUUAUAG